Molecule: long non-coding RNA, 1492 nt
Organism: Panthera uncia (snow leopard)
Lineage: Eukaryota; Metazoa; Chordata; Mammalia; Carnivora; Felidae
Exons: 3
Source: RefSeq, a predicted model, not a curated record
AAAACAAAAUCCCAGUACCUGGGAGGCUCAGGGGAUAAGAGGAGAGAGCAUCACUGAUCUUGGCUUUUCAGAACUGUUCUGGCUUGGAACUGAUGGCCUCAAGUAGUCCCUCUUAAGCUAAUAACUUAAGGGAAUUAUUUGGACCGCAGCCAGAACCCUAGGAUAGGAGGUCCCAUCUGGGGAGUCCUGAUACCUUGACUUUCAGACAAAUAUACGCCCUCCUAGGGGGGCCCUGACACUGUAAACUCUGUUUCAGGUGGGGGGGGGGUGGGCAGGUUUGGCCUCUGGGACUGUACUUCUUCUGUGAGUCCCCUGGACGUCAUGAUAUUCAUUGCCUGUGCCCCGGAAGGUGUACAAAGCAGCUUCAACUUACUGGCCACAGUUGUGCUGUGCUGAAUCCUUGCGCCUCUGCUCAGAUUUUAUUUUUCAGGCUCUGUGCUGACAGCAGAGAGCCCGACACGGGGCUCGAACUCGCGAACUGUGAGAUCAUGACCUGAACUGAAGUCUGAUGCUUAACUGCUUGAGAUACCCAGGCACCCUGAGACUGAGUUUUUAAGUUAAGAAAAGAUCUUUAGCUGAGGGAAUGGGAUCUGUCUCCAAGUUGUCACCUUGGAAGGCAGAGCACCUUAAAAUAAUAAUAACAAAAACUCCGAUUUUCUGGUCACUGAUUUAUGUGCCAGGCACCGUGCUAAGCACAUUAUAUACUGUGCUCUUUACUCAUUAAAUCCCCAGAUAACCCUCAGAGGUAAGUGCUAUCAACAUCCCCAUUACAGAUUAGAAAACAGAGGCUCAGAGAGGUGUCUGAGCACAGCGAAAAAGCGACAGAACUGAGAAAUGAACCAGGCCUGACUCUCUCCAAAGCCUACAAGCUAGCCACUUCCAGCCAUGCUGUCAUUACUCAGAUAUUUUGGGAAAUGCUUUGGGAAUGACCUCUGAGCCCAUUUUCAAGCAGCAGGAAAAACAAACAAACAAACAAAAAUCCAGUCUCCUGGUUGUACUCAUUAAGACCUGGAGAAGUUCCUCUUCAUUUGGCCUCUGGCAGAGUGGGAAGGGCAGGCGUGGCAGGAGGCCAGGGUGGGCCCAGGAGGGAGCUAGGAGACCUGUGGGCAUGCGCAGGGGCUCCGUUGGCGGGCUGGAGAGGCAGAGGUGGGUGCCCCGUCACUGAGCAACCUUCGGUAAGUCACUUCUCUCUGAACCUCAGUUUCCGUGGCGUCCCGAUGGAGUGGGGGCUGGCAUGGUGGUGAAAGAAUUCACCCAAGUCAGAACAAAGGAGAUAGAGACUUAUUGAAUACACUGCAAGAGAGCAGCGGGCAGGACAGCAAAGGAGAGACUGUCUGCCACCAGGCGGUCAGCAAUGACAAAUCCUUGGCAUUUGAGUGGAAGUCUCGUCUUCAACGGCUUCUUCCCGCUGAACGAGGGGUGUAGAGAUGUCCCUACGUAUGGAUCAACAUUGGUCGGUUGGGAAUUUAUAUGUUGGGAUUAUGAAAGGCAG